RNAcentral lists this transfer RNA (71 nucleotides) under Loxodonta africana (African savanna elephant). It matches the Rfam family "tRNA". Rfam says of the family: Transfer RNA (tRNA) molecules are approximately 80 nucleotides in length. Their secondary structure includes four short double-helical elements and three loops (D, anti-codon, and T loops). Lineage: Eukaryota; Metazoa; Chordata; Mammalia; Proboscidea; Elephantidae. The record is from Rfam by way of RNAcentral.
GCAUUGGUGGUUCAACGGUAGAAUUCUCACCUUCCACGCAAGAGACCUAGGUUCAAAUCGCGCCCAAUGCA